Molecule: long non-coding RNA, 2738 nt
Filed under: Homo sapiens (human)
Lineage: Eukaryota; Metazoa; Chordata; Mammalia; Primates; Hominidae
Description: non-protein coding lnc-KHDRBS3-14:1
Source: RNAcentral
CAGGUGCCCACCACCACGCCCGGUUAAUUUUUUGUAUUUUUUUUUAGUAGAGAUGGGUUUUCACCAUGUUAGCCAGGAUGGUCUUGAUCUCCUGACCUCGUGAUCCACCUGCCUCGGCCUCCCAAAGUGCUGGGAUUACAGGCGUAAGCCACAACACCCAGCCUCCCAGGGAGAUCAUUCUUAAACAAAGGCCCAAGUAGGGCUCCUUCCCCAAAGCCCCAGUUGCUUCCUUCUGUGGCCCAACUAAGCUCAAGUUCAUAAGACACUCCUCCAGCUCCUCAGAGAUCUGGCCUUCACCUGCUUUUGUAGCCUCAUGCUCACUUCAUCCUCAAGCUUCAGCUCGAUGUAACCCGGGUCUAAGUCCUGUUCUCUGUUCCUUCCCUGGCUGCCCCAAUUCUUCAAGGCAUGGUGCAAAGAGUGGGCUGUUUUCCUGAUGUCCCAACACCAACUUGGUCCCUCUUUUGUGUUCCUGGAGAAUGUUGAUGGUCUUUUUGUUGGUUACUGAAUUUAUGCUUACAAAAAUGUUGUGGCUUUCUCCUCAGCAGAGGGACCCUGUAUAGCAGGUGGAUAGUUUGUAAAAAGCAGAGUUUGGGAUUGAUUUGGAUGUCACUCUUGGCUUUUCCACCUACACUGUCUGUGGCCUUCUUCAAGGGCUUUAACCUCUUCCAGGCUGCAAAUCCUUGUUGGGAUAUGGGGGUAGUGGCUCCUGUUGUAAGGAUUCAUUUUUGUAUUUACAUGCCCCCAGCACCACUAGACCAUGGGAUCUUGAGGCAGAGUCUGGAUUUGAUUAAACUCCUGGUGCUUAUUUAUUCCCACAGAACUUGUCCUGCUCACAUAUGCCAGCUAGAAAGGGAACUGGAGACUGAUGAACCUAUGGCGGGGCCAUGGCAUUUGGCUACCUUGCUCCUGCUACCUCUGCCAGUGGGUCCCAAGUCUGGCAUAUUCUUGCCCACUUCUGCAAUGACCUCUUUGUGAAUCCAGGUCUCUGUGGGGGCACAGGGUGUCACAAGGUAGAUGACCUACCCGCUACAGCUCCACCAAGCAUGCUGUUCCAUGCUCUCUUUCGUCUGACUUUGCAUGUUCUCUCAUUGUUCUUGUCUUAGCCUGAGGGUAGACCUCUGGCCUCUUCAGACAUGAUCCCAGCACCUGCUUCUUCAAUCCAGAACCUCCCCUGGGCCUUGGAGUUGAGCAGGUUGUCCCAGUUCUUCCUUUGUGUUGGGCUCCCUUGUGGUUCUCUUUCCUGCCAGGGGACCUUUUGUGACCACCUUAGUUUACAAGAGAGGUUCCAAUAGCAUUGACUCUUCAAAAGGAAUGUGUGGGAAUUUCUGGUCUCCUUGUCUCUUGGCGAAUGAGCAUCUCUCCCAAGCCUUGUCUCUACAGAGGAGGGGUACUUGGAGAGACAACCUUUGUGAUGUCACCAAAUAGUCCUGUUAUAUUUUUUCUUCCAGGGACACAUGUAUAUUACAAAGAGGCGCCACAAAAGUCACCAUUUGUAGAACAAAGAGGAUUAGCUUCAAGCUCUUUCUGAAUCCAUCUAGACCAGGAAGCAAGGCCACUUUUUCAGAGGGAGUCUCUUUUUUCAAGAUCUACUGCAGGAUUUCUCAAAGUUUAAAGCACUUAUGAAUUGCCUGGGUAUCUUGCUAAAAUUCAGUAGUUCUGGGGAGGGGCCUGAGAUAUCCCACAUGUUUAACAAGCUUCUGGGUGACAACCUUGGUGCCUGUCCUUGGACUAAGCUUCAGAAACUAGGGUCUGGCUACGCAAUCAGACACCUGGCCAAAUCUGUAUCCCCAACACUUAGUAUUAGUCACCUGGUAAACAGUGGACAAUGGGUAAAUUGUUAUUGGGUGGAUUAAAUCAUUAAUUCAUCCUAAUUGUAAUGUUCAUGUCCAUGUGUUCUCAUUGUUCGGCUCCCACUUAUGAAUGAGAACAUGUGGUGUUUGGUUUUCUGUUCCUGUGUUAAUUUGCUGAGGAUAAUGGCUUCCAGCUUCAUCCAUGUCCCUGCAAAGGACAUGAUCUCAUUCCUUUUUAUGGCUGCAUAGUAUUCCAUGGCCUUGCACCUCUUUAUAAGGUCACUAAUCCUGUUCACGAGGACUCUGCCCUCAUGACUUAAUCAGCACCUAAAGGUAACAUCUCAUUUUUAAAAAUUUUUAAAUUUAUUUUUAUUUUUAUAUUUCAAUAGUUUUUGUAUAGGUGGCUUUCAGUUACAUGAAUAAAUUAUUUAGUGAUGAUUUCUGAGAUUUCGGUGCACUUGUCACCCAAGCAGUGUACACACUGUACCCAAAGUAAUAACUGGAUGUCUUAUUGAGAAAUUAAUGGUGUAGUGAAUUUCCCCCUUUUGCUUUGUAAUAGACUCCUCCCAACCCCACCUCUAGCCCUAAAAACCUCUACAAUAGUUCUCCACCACCCCGAAUCACAAAGCACCAUUUUCCUUUUCCUGAAAGUAAGAGGAAGACUUCAUGUCUUUGGGGGAUUGCUCUCCCUUUUCCCAGGGUGGAACUGACCCAUGGGUGGAGGCUCAGCUCUUUCCUGGUUGGGGUGGGAGUGGAAGCUGAUUUUCCAGAGGAGAGAAGGACACAGGCUCAACACUGGAAAAGGAGCGUUGAACUUCCUGAGCCACAACGAUGAAUAUGGGAGGGUGGGAUGAGGGAGAUGCCGAGGCAGUAAGACCUUGAGAUGGGAUACAGUGGGAAGGUUCUGGGUGGACUGAGCCUACUUGUGCUGUGGUGUGGGCUCUGGUU